RNAcentral lists this ribosomal RNA (405 nucleotides) under uncultured bacterium. RNAcentral's name for it is "partial 16S ribosomal RNA". It matches the Rfam family "Bacterial small subunit ribosomal RNA", at positions 30 to 526 of the family's 1533-position model. The record is from RNAcentral.
AUUGAACGCUGGCGGCAGGCCUAACACAUGCAAGUCGAGCGAGUGGCGGACGGGUGAGUAAUGCUUGGGAAUCUAGCUUAUGGAGGGGGAUAACUGCGGGAAACUGUAGCUAAUACCGCUUACCAUACGAUGAGCCCAAGGGGGAUUAGGUAGUUGGUGAGGUAAAGGCUCACCAAGCCGACGAUCGCUAGCUGGUCUGAGAGGAUGACCAGCCACACUGGGACUGAGACACGGCCCAGACUCCUACGGGAGGCAGCAGUGGGGAAUAUUGCGCAAUGGGGGCAACCUGACGCAGCCAUGCCGCGUGUAUGAAGAAGGCCCUAGGGUUGUAAAGCACUUUCAGUCGGGAGGCGUUACCGACAGAAGAAGCACCGGCUAACUCCGUGCCAGCAGCCGCGGUAAUUC